UGACGAUGCCGGCGACCAACUCCCCAACCCAGGCUGCUCGUCCAGGUCGCGUGUCUAGGAAGAUCGGCAGGGGCAUGCUACUAGAGGGCCGAGAUGGCGAGAUACAGGAGUCACGCGACCUGGAAAAGGGACCUGGCAGGGACAAGGAGGUGUGGACCUGGAGAAGGGAUCUGGCCGGUCAGCCGAUUUUUCUUCUUUGCUGCCUACGACUACUAGCCUCUUUCUUGCAAAUGUUGUCAUCCUUUGUCUAGCAGGGUCAUAGGAGAAAGCUGAGGAUGUCGAGCCGAGGUGAGCCUCGCUGGUUUGCUGCUCAACGGGAGAAGCACGGUCACCCCUCCAGAGAGAAACGAGUACAUUGCGUCUAGGUGGUGACUUUGUUGCUGGGUUCUACCUUCACAACCUGAUAUCGGAGAUUCUUUCUUUGAAGAUUUUAGCACUAUUAUUCAAGCCUACUCUCUGUAGUGAUUCCUUGAAGAUGAAGGGAUACUUUCCUCCCCCAUGUGAGGUGCUAUUUUAGAUUAGUUUUUCUUUUGGAUGUACGCAAUAACACAAAUAUACUUUCUUGUUUGGCAGUGUAGAGUUAGUCGGUGCUUUGAUGAUAGUUCACGAAAACUGGAGUAUAUCAACAUAAUGGGUGUAUACCUAUCUGGCUCCGCCCAUCCCACCGUCCUUGCUCAGUUGGUUGGGAUAUGGACGCCAUGAGAUUUGACGUGGUUGAGGUGAGUUUUGUCAAUUUGGCCAA
Molecule: long non-coding RNA, 742 nt
Organism: Lolium rigidum
Lineage: Eukaryota; Viridiplantae; Streptophyta; Magnoliopsida; Poales; Poaceae
Exons: 5
Source: RefSeq, a predicted model, not a curated record